UACGGAGGGUGCAAGCGUUAUCCGGAUUUACUGGGUUUAAAGGGUGUGUAGGCGGGUCUUUAAGUCAGUGGUGAAAUCUCCGAGCUUAACUUGGAAACUGCCAUUGAUACUAUUGAUCUUGAAUUCUGUUGAGGUGGGCGGGAUAUGUCAUGUAGCGGUGAAAUGCAUAGAUAUGACAUAGAACACCAAUUGCGAAGGCAGCUCACUAAGCAGAUGUUGACGCUGAGGCACGAAAGCGUGGGGAUCAAACAGG
RNAcentral lists this ribosomal RNA (253 nucleotides) under uncultured bacterium. RNAcentral's name for it is "partial 16S ribosomal RNA". It matches the Rfam family "Bacterial small subunit ribosomal RNA", at positions 524 to 776 of the family's 1533-position model. The record is from RNAcentral.